GUUUCUGUAGUGUAGUGGUUAUCACGUUUGCCAAACACCGCGAAAGGUCCCCGGUUCGAAACCUGGCAGAAACU
Molecule: transfer RNA, 74 nt
Filed under: Merluccius polli (Benguela hake)
Lineage: Eukaryota; Metazoa; Chordata; Actinopteri; Gadiformes; Merlucciidae
Description: tRNA-Val
Rfam family: tRNA
About the family: Transfer RNA (tRNA) molecules are approximately 80 nucleotides in length. Their secondary structure includes four short double-helical elements and three loops (D, anti-codon, and T loops). Further hydrogen bonds mediate the characteristic L-shaped molecular structure. tRNAs have two regions of fundamental functional importance: the anti-codon, which is responsible for specific mRNA codon recognition, and the 3' end, to which the tRNAs corresponding amino acid is attached (by aminoacyl-tRNA synthetases). tRNAs cope with the degeneracy of the genetic code in two manners: having more than one tRNA (with a specific anti-codon) for a particular amino acid; and 'wobble' base-pairing, i.e. permitting non-standard base-pairing at the 3rd anti-codon position.
Source: RNAcentral